AGCGCAGCAGGCGAGAAACUUUACAAUGUGCGAAAGCACGAUAAGGGAACUCUGAGUGCCUCCUAAGGAGGCUGUUCAGGUGUCUAAAAGCACCUGAAGGAAGGGCUGGGUAAGACCGGUGCCAGCCGCCGCGGUAACACCGGCAGCCCAAGUGGUAGCCACGUUUAUUGGGUCUAAAGCGUCCGUAGCCGGCUGGGUAAGUUCCUUGGGAAAUUUGGCUGCUUAACAGUCAAGCUUUCAGGGAAUACUGCUCGGCUUGGGACCGGGAGAGGUCAGAGGUACUCCAGGGGUAGGGGUGAAAUCCAUUAAUCCUUGGGGGACCACCGGUAGCGAAGGCGUCUGACCAGACCGGGUCCGACGGUGAGGGACGAAGGCUAGGGGCGCGAACCGGAUUAGAUACCCGCGUAGU
RNAcentral lists this ribosomal RNA (409 nucleotides) under uncultured microorganism. RNAcentral describes it as "bacterial SSU rRNA". It matches the Rfam family "Archaeal small subunit ribosomal RNA", at positions 329 to 745 of the family's 1478-position model. The record is from RNAcentral.